UCCGGUGGUUCUGAAUGGAAGGGCCAUCGCUCAACGGAUAAAAGGUACUCCGGGGAUAACAGGCUGAUACCGCCCAAGAGUUCAUAUCGACGGCGGUGUUUGGCACCUCGAUGUCGGCUCAUCACAUCCUGGGGCUGAAGUAGGUCCCAAGGGUAUGGCUGUUCGCCAUUUAAAGUGGUACGCGAGCUGGGUUUAGAACGUCGUGAGACAGUUCGGUCCCUAUCUGCCGUGGGCGCUGGAGAACUGAGGGGGGCUGCUCCUAGUACGAGAGGACCGGAGUGGACGCAUCACUGGUGUUCGGGUUGUCAUGCCAAUGGCACUGCCCGGUAGCUAAAUGCGGAAGAGAUAAGUGCUGAAAGCAUCUAAGCACGAAACUUGCCCCGAGAUGAGUUCUCCCUG
RNAcentral lists this ribosomal RNA (399 nucleotides) under Salmonella enterica subsp. enterica. Its description in RNAcentral is "partial 23S ribosomal RNA". It matches the Rfam family "Bacterial large subunit ribosomal RNA", at positions 2419 to 2817 of the family's 2925-position model. Lineage: Bacteria; Pseudomonadati; Pseudomonadota; Gammaproteobacteria; Enterobacterales; Enterobacteriaceae. The record is from RNAcentral.